Molecule: ribosomal RNA, 468 nt
Filed under: uncultured bacterium
Lineage: Bacteria
Description: partial 16S ribosomal RNA
Rfam family: Bacterial small subunit ribosomal RNA
Source: RNAcentral
GACGAACGCUGGCGGCGUGCUUAACACAUGCAAGUCGAACUGAAAGGCCCUGCUUUUGUGGGGUGCUCGAGUGGCGAACGGGUGAGUAACACGUGAUUAACCUGCCCUUGACUUUGGGAUAACUUCAGGAAGCUGGGGCUAAUACCGGAUAGUAGCUCCUGCUGCAUGGUGGGGUUUGGAACGUUUCGGCGGUUGGGGAUGGACUCGCGGCUUAUCAGCUUGUUGGUGGGGUAGUGGCUUACCAAGGCUUUGACGGGUAGCCGGCCUGAGAGGGUUACCGGCCACAUUGGGAAUGAGAUACGGCCCAGACUCAUACGGGAGGCAGGAGUAGGGAAUAUUGCAAAAUGGGCGGAAGCCUGAUGCAGCAACGCCGCGUGCGGGAUAACGGCCUUCGGGUUGUAAACCGCUUUCGCCUGUGACGAAGCGUGAGUGAAGGUAAUGGGUAAAGAAGUACCGGCUAACUACGUG